This 508-nucleotide ribosomal RNA is filed under the name uncultured bacterium. RNAcentral describes it as "bacterial SSU rRNA". It matches the Rfam family "Bacterial small subunit ribosomal RNA", at positions 343 to 842 of the family's 1533-position model. The record is from RNAcentral.
GGGAGGCAGCAGUAGGGAAUCUUCCACAAUGGGCGAAAGCCUGAUGGAGCAACGCCGCGUGGGUGAAGAAGGUCUUCGGAUCGUAAAACCCUGUUGUUAGAGAAGAAAGUGCGUGAGAGUAACUGUUCACGUUUCGACGGUAUCUAACCAGAAAGCCACGGCUAACUACGUGCCAGCAGCCGCGGUAAUACGUAGGUGGCAAGCGUUAUCCGGAUUUAUUGGGCGUAAAGGGAACGCAGGCGGUCUUUUAAGUCUGAUGUGAAAGCCUUCGGCUUAACCGGAGUAGUGCAUUGGAAACUGGGAGACUUGAGUGCAGAAGAGGAGAGUGGAACUCCAUGUGUAGCGGUGAAAUGCGUAGAUAUAUGGAAGAACACCAGUGGCGAAAGCGACUCUCUGGUCUGUAACUGACGCUGAGGUUCGAAAGCGUGGGUAGCAAACAGGAUUAGAUACCCUGGUAGUCCACGCCGUAAACGAUGAAUGCUAAGUGUUGGAGGGUUUCCGCCCUUCA